This 492-nucleotide ribosomal RNA is filed under the name uncultured bacterium. RNAcentral describes it as "partial 16S ribosomal RNA". It matches the Rfam family "Bacterial small subunit ribosomal RNA", at positions 29 to 507 of the family's 1533-position model. The record is from RNAcentral.
AGUGAACGCUGGCGGUAGGCCUAACACAUGCAAGUCGAACGGCAGCACAGUAAGAGCUUGCUCUUACGGGUGGCGAGUGGCGGACGGGUGAGGAAUACAUCGGAAUCUACUUUUUCGUGGGGGAUAACGUAGGGAAACUUACGCUAAUACCGCAUACGACCUACGGGUGAAAGCAGGGGAUCUUCGGACCUUGCGCGAUUGAAUGAGCCGAUGUCGGAUUAGCUAGUUGGCGGGGUAAAGGCCCACCAAGGCGACGAUCCGUAGCUGGUCGGAGAGGAUGAUCAGCCACACUGGAACUGAGACACGGUCCAGACUCCUACGGGAGGCAGCAGUGGGGUAUAUUGGACAAUGGGCGCAAGCCUGAUCCAGCCAUACCGCGUGGGUGAAGAAGGCCUUCGGGUUGUAAAGCCCUUUUGUUGGGAAAGAAAAGCAGCAGGUUAAUACCACGCUGUUCUGACGGUACCCAAAGAAUAAGCACCGGCUAACUUCGUG